UGACGCUGGCGGCUGCUUACCCCUGCAGUCUAACGGCAGCACGGGAGCAAUCCUGGUGGCGAGUGGCGAACGGGUGAGUAAUAUAUCGGAACGUGCCCAGUCGUGGGGGAUAACGCAGCGAAAGCUGUGCUAAUACCGCAUACGAUCUACGGAUGAAAGCGGGGGAUCGCAAGACCUCGCGCGAUUGGAGCGGCCGAUAUCAGAUUAGCUAGUUGGUGGGGUAAAGUGCCCACCAAGGCGACGAUCUGUAGCUGGUCUGAGAGGACGACCAGCCACACUGGAACUGAGACACGGUCCAGACUCCUACGGGAGGCAGCAGUGGGGAAUUUUGGACAAUGGGCGCAAGCCUGAUCCAGCAAUGCCGCGUGCAGGAUGAAGGCCUUCGGGUUGUAAACUGCUUUUGUACGGAACGAAACGGUGAGCUCUAAUAAAGUUUGCUAAUGACGGUACCGUAAGAAUAAGCACCGGCUAACUACGUGCCAGCAGCCGCGGUAAUACGUAGGGUGCGAGCGUUAAUCGGAAUUACUGGGCGUAAAGCGUGCGCAGGCGGUUAUGUAAGACAGAUGUGAAAUCCCCGGGCUCAACCUGGGACCUGCAUUUGUGACUGCAUAG
RNAcentral lists this ribosomal RNA (612 nucleotides) under uncultured beta proteobacterium. Its description in RNAcentral is "bacterial SSU rRNA". It matches the Rfam family "Bacterial small subunit ribosomal RNA", at positions 31 to 640 of the family's 1533-position model. The record is from RNAcentral. Lineage: Bacteria; Pseudomonadati; Pseudomonadota; Betaproteobacteria.